This 771-nucleotide ribosomal RNA is filed under the name uncultured bacterium. RNAcentral describes it as "bacterial SSU rRNA". It matches the Rfam family "Bacterial small subunit ribosomal RNA", at positions 8 to 796 of the family's 1533-position model. The record is from RNAcentral.
AGAGUUUGAUCAUGGCUCAGGACGAACGCUGGCGGCGUGCUUAACACAUGCAAGUCGAGCGGAAAGGCCCUUCGGGGUACUCGAGCGGCGAACGGGUGAGUAACACGUGAGCAACCUGCCCUUAGCUCUGGGAUAGCUCCGGGAAACCGGAAUUAAUACCGGAUAUGACCAUGGCCGACAUCGGUUGUGGUGGAAAGAUUUAUCGGCUGGGGAUGGGCUCGCGGCCUAUCAGCUUGUUGGUGGGGUAAUGGCCUACCAAGGCGACGACGGGUAGCCGGCCUGAGAGGGCGACCGGCCACACUGGGACUGAGACACGGCCCAGACUCCUACGGGAGGCAGCAGUGGGGAAUAUUGCGCAAUGGGCGGAAGCCUGACGCAGCGACGCCGCGUGGGGGAUGAAGGCCUUCGGGUUGUAAACCCCUUUCGGCAGGGACGAAGCGGAAGUGACGGUACCUGCAGAAGAAGCACCGGCUAACUACGUGCCAGCAGCCGCGGUAACACGUAGGGUGCAAGCGUUGUCCGGAAUCAUUGGGCGUAAAGAGCUCGUAGGCGGUCUGUCACGUCUGCUGUGAAAACUCGGGGCUUAACCCCGAGCUUGCAGUGGAUACGGGCAGACUAGAGGUAGGUAGGGGAGAAUGGAAUUCCCGGUGUAGCGGUGAAAUGCGCAGAUAUCGGGAGGAACACCGGUGGCGAAGGCGGUUCUCUGGGCCUUACCUGACGCUGAGGAGCGAAAGCGUGGGGAGCGAACAGGAUUAGAUACCCCCGUAGUCC